UACGGAGGGGGCUAGCGUUGUUCGGAAUUACUGGGCGUAAAGCGCACGUAGGCGGCUUUGCAAGUUAGAGGUGAAAGCCCGGAGCUCAACUCCGGAACUGCCUUUAAAACUGCAUCGCUUGAAUCCAGGAGAGGUGAGUGGAAUUCCGAGUGUAGAGGUGAAAUUCGUAGAUAUUCGGAAGAACACCAGUGGCGAAGGCGGCUCACUGGACUGGUAUUGACGCUGAGGUGCGAAAGCGUGGGGAGCAAACAGG
Molecule: ribosomal RNA, 253 nt
Filed under: uncultured bacterium
Lineage: Bacteria
Description: partial 16S ribosomal RNA
Rfam family: Bacterial small subunit ribosomal RNA
Source: RNAcentral